RNAcentral lists this long non-coding RNA (1246 nucleotides) under Salmo trutta (river trout). Its description in RNAcentral is "lncRNA (ENSSTUG00000034252.1)". The record is from RNAcentral. Lineage: Eukaryota; Metazoa; Chordata; Actinopteri; Salmoniformes; Salmonidae.
GAGCUAUUCAGUAAGGCCAUUCUACUGCCAAUGUUUGUCUAUGGAGAUUGCAUGACUGUGUGCUUGAUUUAGACACCUGUCAGCAAGGAUGUGGCUGAAAUAGCCGAAUCCACUAAUUUGAAGCAGUGUCCGCAUACUUUUGUAUAUAUAGUGUAUCUGCCUCUCUCGUUCCUUCUCUUUUUAUCUUCUCUUCUUCUCUCCUCUUCUGUUCUCUUCUACCCCCUCUCAGCUCCCUGCCCUCCAGAUGCAGUCAGUGCCGUGGUGGACUGUGCCACCAACAUUGUCACGGUAACCUGGGACAACAGCGUUGCCGAGGUGCUGUACACAGUUACUGCUGAAUGUCCCAGUGGUCAGCACUACACCUGCAACGUCACGGGAAUAGGCUGUGACCUCAGCACCCUGUCAUGUGGCACAGAGUACAAUGUGACUGUCACCCCGUCACGUGGCGGCUGUGUCGGUGUCAACACACCGUCUCAGCUGGUCAAGACAGCGCCCUGCGUACCCCGCCUCACCGAGGUAGAGAUGGACUGUCUAUCAGAUUCCGCCUGGGUGGUAUGGGAGGAGUCAGUGGGUGCCGAGCUUUACGUUGCCGUGGCGACGGACAGCCAGGGGCAGACGUUUGAGUGUAACUCAAUCGACAGUAACACGUGCGCUAUGCCAGAACUGCACUGUGGACAUCACUUUACCUUUACCCUCACCGCCUUAGACCAAAAGUGCUCCAGCGCACCUAGCAACGCUGUGGUGUCCGAGACAGCCCCUUGCCCUCCCCAAGACAUGCAGACCAAGGUGGGCUGUGAGAACCAUACGGUGAGUGUGUCCUGGACCCCCAGCGUGGGAGCUCUAAUGUACACAGCCACCCUGGAGCGCACAGACGGAGAGAUCACCUUCUGCACCACCGAUGGCACAGGAUGUGACAUCACACAGCUGCCCUGCGGAGAGAUGUACGUCCUGGCAGUAACCGCUGAGGGACGCACCUGUAACACCUCCGAGAGCAUGGGGGCUAUUGUCAGAACAGUACCCUGCAUACCCCAGCGUCUGCAGGCCAGUGUGAGCUGCAGCAGUAAUGUGGCCAAUAUGAUGUGGAACACCAGCCGUGGGGGUCAGCUCUACUCUGUAGAGGCUACCGGAACCGACGGACACGUUGCAGGAUGCAUGUCCCAUGACACCCGCUGUGAUCUCACCGGCCUGCACUGCGGCCAGCACUACACCGCCACCAUGGUGGCACGAAACAGUGACUGCACCAGCC